RNAcentral lists this ribosomal RNA (253 nucleotides) under uncultured bacterium. RNAcentral's name for it is "partial 16S ribosomal RNA". It matches the Rfam family "Bacterial small subunit ribosomal RNA", at positions 524 to 776 of the family's 1533-position model. The record is from RNAcentral.
UACGUAGGGUGCAAGCGUUGUCCGGAUUUAUUGGGCGUAAAGAGCUCGUAGGCGGUUUGUCGCGUCGGAUGUGAAAUCCCAGGGCUCAACCCUGGGCCUGCAUUCGAUACGGGCAGACUAGAGUAUGGCAGGGGAGACUGGAAUUCCUGGUGUAGCGGUGAAAUGCGCAGAUAUCAGGAGGAACACCGAUGGCGAAGGCAGGUCUCUGGGCCAUAACUGACGCUGAGGCACGAAGGCGUGGGUAGCAAACAGG